Molecule: non-coding RNA, 30 nt
Filed under: Rattus norvegicus (Norway rat)
Lineage: Eukaryota; Metazoa; Chordata; Mammalia; Rodentia; Muridae
Source: RNAcentral
UAAAGGUUAGACUUGAGACUUGAUUUCUUA